This 322-nucleotide ribosomal RNA is filed under the name uncultured eukaryote. RNAcentral's name for it is "partial 18S ribosomal RNA". It matches the Rfam family "Eukaryotic small subunit ribosomal RNA", at positions 1470 to 1796 of the family's 1831-position model. The record is from RNAcentral.
CCCUUAGAUGUUCUGGGCAGCACGCGCGCUACAAUGGUCUUCGCAAACGGAUGCAUUCUCGAAGGAGAAUGCCAAUCUUGGAAUCUAUGCCUUGGUCGGGACAGUUGCUUGCAAUUUUUCGACUCGAACCAGGAAUUCCUUGUAAUCGUGAUUCAUCACAUCACGAUGAAUACGUCCCUGCCCUUUGUACACACCGCCCGUCGCACCUACCGAUUGGAUGGUCCGGUGAAGCCUCGGGAUUGUGGUUCUUGCCGCUUUAUUGUGGCGUGACCGCGAGAACUUGUCUAAACCUUAUCAUCUAGAGGAAGGUGAAGUCGUAACA